GACGAACGCUGGCGGCGCGCCUAACACAUGCAAGUCGAACGAGCGAGAGAGAGCUUGCUUUUUCGAGCGAGUGGCGAACGGGUGAGUAACGCGUGAGGAACCUGCCUCAAAGAGGGGGACAACAGUUGGAAACGACUGCUAAUACCGCAUAAGCCCACGGGUCGGCAUCGACCAGAGGGAAAAGGAGCAAUCCGCUUUGAGAUGGCCUCGCGUCCGAUUAGCUAGUUGGUGAGGUAACGGCCCACCAAGGCAACGAUCGGUAGCCGGACUGAGAGGUUGAACGGCCACAUUGGGACUGAGACACGGCCCAGACUCCUACGGGAGGCAGCAGUGGGGAAUAUUGCACAAUGGGGGAAACCCUGAUGCAGCGACGCCGCGUGGAGGAAGAAGGUCUUCGGAUUGUAAACUCCUGUUGUUGGGGAAGAUAAUGACGGUACCCAACAAGGAAGUGACGGCUAACUACGUG
RNAcentral lists this ribosomal RNA (466 nucleotides) under uncultured bacterium. RNAcentral describes it as "bacterial SSU rRNA". It matches the Rfam family "Bacterial small subunit ribosomal RNA", at positions 28 to 507 of the family's 1533-position model. The record is from RNAcentral.